RNAcentral lists this long non-coding RNA (201 nucleotides) under Pavo cristatus (Indian peafowl). RNAcentral describes it as "lncRNA (ENSPSTG00000003482.1)". The record is from RNAcentral. Lineage: Eukaryota; Metazoa; Chordata; Aves; Galliformes; Phasianidae.
GGAGACCUUAACUGGCUGCAGCUCUUCGAGCACGCCUGACGUCUCCUGGCUGCCAGUCAUCCUGACAAGAAUGCCAGGAAUCUCUUUAUUACCACGAUGGAGAUAAAUGAUAUGUCUAGGAGGGCUGUUCUGACAGUGGGCACGGCCGUGCAUUCUGCGCUUUCUGAAUUGGAAGAGAUCUGUUUCUGAUUGAGGCAGUAC